RNAcentral lists this ribosomal RNA (468 nucleotides) under uncultured bacterium. RNAcentral's name for it is "partial 16S ribosomal RNA". It matches the Rfam family "Bacterial small subunit ribosomal RNA", at positions 28 to 507 of the family's 1533-position model. The record is from RNAcentral.
GACGAACGCUGGCGGCGUGCUUAACACAUGCAGGUCGAACGGAAAGGCCCUGCUUUUGUGGGGUGCUCGAGUGGCGAACGGGUGAGUAACACGUGAGUAACCUGCCCUUGACUUUGGGAUAACUUCAGGAAACUGGGGCUAAUACCGGAUAGGAGCUCCUGCUGCAUGGUGCGGGUUGGAAAGUUUCGGCGGUUGGGGAUGGACUCGCGGCUUAUCAGCUUGUUGGUGGGGUAGUGGCUUACCAAGGCUUUGACGGGUAGCCGGCCUGAGAGGGUGACCGGCCACAUUGGGACUGAGAUACGGCCCAGACUCCUACGGGAGGCAGCAGUGGGGAAUAUUGCACAAUGGGCGGAAGCCUGAUGCAGCAACGCCGCGUGCGGGAUGACGGCCUUCGGGUUGUAAACCGCUUUCGCCUGUGACGAAGCGUGAGUGACGGUAAUGGGUAAAGAAGCACCGGCUAACUACGUG